RNAcentral lists this ribosomal RNA (361 nucleotides) under uncultured bacterium. RNAcentral describes it as "partial 16S ribosomal RNA". It matches the Rfam family "Bacterial small subunit ribosomal RNA", at positions 338 to 697 of the family's 1533-position model. The record is from RNAcentral.
CCUACGGGAGGCAGCAGUGAGGAAUAUUGGUCAAUGGGAGAGAUCCUGAACCAGCCAAGCCGCGUGAGGGAAGACGGCCCUAUGGGUUGUAAACCUCUUUUGUCGGAGAACAAAACCCGGGACGUGUCCCGGACUGCGUGUAUCCGAAGAAAAAGCAUCGCCUAACUCCGUGCCAGCAGCCGCGGUAAUACGGAGGAUGCGAGCGUUAUCAGGAUUUAUUGGGUUUAAAGGGUGCGUAGGCGGUCUGUUAAGUCAACGGUAAUAUUGCGGGGCUCAAACCCGUCGAGCCGUGGAAACUGGCAGACUUGAGUUGGCGAGAAGUACGCGGAAUGCGCGGUGUAGCGGUGAAAUGCGUAGAUAU